Molecule: ribosomal RNA, 793 nt
Filed under: Leuconostoc carnosum
Lineage: Bacteria; Bacillati; Bacillota; Bacilli; Lactobacillales; Lactobacillaceae
Description: bacterial SSU rRNA
Rfam family: Bacterial small subunit ribosomal RNA
Source: RNAcentral
UGCUAUACUGCAGUCGAACGCACAGCGAAAGGUGCUUGCACCUUUCAAGUGAGUGGCGAACGGGUGAGUAACACGUGGACAACCUGCCUCAAGGCUGGGGAUAACAUUUGGAAACAGAUGCUAAUACCGAAUAAAACUUAGUAUCGCAUGAUACCAGGUUAAAAGGCGCUACGGCGUCACCUAGAGAUGGAUCCGCGGUGCAUUAGUUAGUUGGUGGGGUAAAGGCCUACCAAGACAAUGAUGCAUAGCCGAGUUGAGAGACUGAUCGGCCACAUUGGGACUGAGACACGGCCCAAACUCCUACGGGAGGCUGCAGUAGGGAAUCUUCCACAAUGGGCGAAAGCCUGAUGGAGCAACGCCGCGUGUGUGAUGAAGGCUUUCGGGUCGUAAAGCACUGUUGUAUGGGAAGAAAAGUUAAGGUAGGGAAUGACCUUAGCCUGACGGUACCAUACCAGAAAGGGACGGCUAAAUACGUGCCAGCAGCCGCGGUAAUACGUAUGUCCCGAGCGUUAUCCGGAUUUAUUGGGCGUAAAGCGAGCGCAGACGGUUGGUUAAGUCUGAUGUGAAAGCCCGGAGCUCAACUCCGGAAAGGCAUUGGAAACUGGUUAACUUGAGUGCAGUAGAGGUAAGUGGAACUCCAUGUGUAGCGGUGGAAUGCGUAGAUAUAUGGAAGAACACCAGCGGCGAAGGCGGCUUACUGGACUGUAACUGACGUUGAGGCUCGAAAGUGUGGGUAGCAAACAGGAUUAGAUACCCUGGUAGUCCACACCGUAACGAUGAACACUAGGUGUUA